UACGAAGGGGGCUAGCGUUGCUCGGAAUCACUGGGCGUAAAGCGCACGUAGGCGGAUUGCUAAGUCAGGGGUGAAAUCCUGGAGCUCAACUCCAGUGCUGCCUUUGAUACUGGCGACCUUGAGUCCGGGAGAGGUGAGUGGAACUGCGAGUGUAGAGGUGAAAUUCGUAGAUAUUCGCAAGAACACCAGUGGCGAAGGCGGCUCACUGGCCCGGUACUGACGCUGAGGUGCGAAAGCGUGGGGAGCAAACAGG
Molecule: ribosomal RNA, 253 nt
Filed under: uncultured bacterium
Lineage: Bacteria
Description: partial 16S ribosomal RNA
Rfam family: Bacterial small subunit ribosomal RNA
Source: RNAcentral